AACGAACGCUGGCGGCAUGCCUAACACAUGCAAGUCGAACGAAGUCUUCGGACUUAGUGGCGCACGGGUGCGUAACGCGUGGGAAUCUGCCCUUGGGUGCGGAAUAACUUCUCGAAAGGGAUGCUAAUACCGCAUAAUGUCGUAAGACCAAAGAUUUAUCGCCCAAGGAUGAGCCCGCGUAAGAUUAGCUAGUUGGUGGGGUAAAAGCCUACCAAGGCGACGAUCUUUAGCUGGUCUGAGAGGAUGAUCAGCCACACUGGGACUGAGACACGGCCCAGACUCCUACGGGAGGCAGCAGUGGGGAAUAUUGGACAAUGGGCGAAAGCCUGAUCCAGCAAUGCCGCGCGAGUGAUGAAGGCCCUAGGGUUGUAAAGCUCUUUUACCAGGGAUGAUAAUGACAGUACCUGGAGAAUAAGCUCCGGCUAACUCCGUGCCAGCAGCCGCGGUAAU
RNAcentral lists this ribosomal RNA (450 nucleotides) under uncultured bacterium. Its description in RNAcentral is "bacterial SSU rRNA". It matches the Rfam family "Bacterial small subunit ribosomal RNA", at positions 29 to 524 of the family's 1533-position model. The record is from RNAcentral.